This is a long non-coding RNA of Dermacentor albipictus, 513 nucleotides long. RefSeq lists it as uncharacterized. NCBI's taxonomy places the organism in Eukaryota, Metazoa, Arthropoda, Arachnida, Ixodida, Ixodidae. The record is from RefSeq and is a predicted model, not a curated record.
GCUAGCAAAGAAAAAUCGAACGGCCAAGCAGUUCUGCUGUGUUCCUCGGUGCGUGCCAACGAGAUGGAAGGACAGCGAUAUUUCCGUUCACGCACUUCCCUCCGAGUGGAAAGGCUGAAGCCGCAGAACCAGGUGGAUCGCUACCCUCCGCAUCGGCAAGGCUGUGACGCUUACAGUGACUGUUUGCUCACGGCAUUUUGCACGGGAUAAUUUCUCCUUACCAGAUGUAGCAUGUCAAAGACAGUGGCUGAAAAAAAUGCAGUACCAACUGAAAACCUGCCAAGGACGUCAUGUUAUGAUGAGAACAAGGAUGCUCAUAUGAAAGAGCUUUCACUGGCAAGACUUCGCCGACGUGUGUAUCGGUCAGCCAGAAAUGAAUCAAGCAAAGAAACUGUUGCCUCCCCAUUAGAAGCAAAGGUGUUGCCCCAUGCACCUGUCAGCACGACCACCAUGGUAAAUUGGCUGCCUGCAACUUGUGCACACAUUGCUUCACCACUAAUUCCUUGGGAUUAA